AAGAGUUUAGGAGGCGCCAAGGAGAAACCAAGAAGAAGGUAAAAGUAUCAGCCAAGGACAUCAACCGACGGAAGUAGAAGACUAAGUCCAAGAAUUGAGGCAUUGAUCGAUAUCUGCAAUGCACAUGGGAAGGCAUGGAUGGACCAUAAUGUAUGGUUGACUGUGCAAUCAAACGAUAGGGUUCCUCCACACAGGAGUCCAUAAGAAAUAUGAGGACUCAUCGACCACCAACUAUUACAAUACCACACCCGAAUUUCCCCAUUUGAACCCAUUUUUAGUUUAAUCGAUCCAAUUUUUUAUCAGGGGUCGACCCUACUCGGUUACUGUUCAUUUAUACGCUAAUGUAAUGCACAUUAAACCUUCAGUUUUGUUUUAACCAUUAACCUAGAGGAUUCAAAGACUAUAUCUUGAUUGAAGAUUCUUUUCUUUCCUUGUUGGGUUUAUGAAACUUCAUAUUUCAUCGUUAUUUCUGAUUAAAAUCAUGUGUGAGUAGAUUUCCCCUAUGGUUC
Molecule: long non-coding RNA, 509 nt
Organism: Arabidopsis thaliana (thale cress)
Lineage: Eukaryota; Viridiplantae; Streptophyta; Magnoliopsida; Brassicales; Brassicaceae
Product: other RNA
Exons: 1
Source: RefSeq